RNAcentral lists this non-coding RNA (29 nucleotides) under Mus musculus (house mouse). The record is from RNAcentral. Lineage: Eukaryota; Metazoa; Chordata; Mammalia; Rodentia; Muridae.
UAUUUUGAAAAAGUUUCUCAUGGGAUGUC